This 229-nucleotide ribosomal RNA is filed under the name uncultured bacterium. RNAcentral's name for it is "partial 16S ribosomal RNA". It matches the Rfam family "Bacterial small subunit ribosomal RNA", at positions 1272 to 1500 of the family's 1533-position model. The record is from RNAcentral.
CUUACAAAAAUAGGUCUCAGUUCGGACUGUAGGCUGCAACUCGCCUACACGAAGUUGGAAUUGCUAGUAAUCGUGGAUCAGCAUGCCACGGUGAAUACGUUCCCGGGUCUUGUACACACCGCCCGUCACACCAUGGGAGCUGGUAACACCCGAAGUCAGUAGUCUAACCGCAAGGAGGACGCUGCCGAAGGUGGGAUUAGCGACUGGGGUGAAGUCGUAACAAGGUAUC